AGGACGAACGCUGGCGGCGUGCUUGACACAUGCAAGUCGAGCGGUAAGGCCCUUUCGGGGGUACACGAGCGGCGAACGGGUGAGUAACACGUGAGCAAUCUGCCCUUCACUUCGGGAUAAGCCUCGGAAACGGGGUCUAAUACCGGAUAUGACUGCGCCAUGCAUGUGGUGUGGUGGAAAGUUCUGGCGGUGAGGGAUGGGCUCGCGGCCUAUCAGCGUU
Molecule: ribosomal RNA, 220 nt
Filed under: uncultured soil bacterium
Lineage: Bacteria
Description: partial 16S ribosomal RNA
Rfam family: Bacterial small subunit ribosomal RNA
Source: RNAcentral